AGGGCUAUAGCUCAGUUCGGUAGAGCAACUCGUUUACACGGUUCGAAUCCGUAUAGCCCUA
This 61-nucleotide transfer RNA is filed under the name Triticum monococcum subsp. sinskajae. RNAcentral's name for it is "tRNA-Val". It matches the Rfam family "tRNA". From Rfam's summary of the family: Transfer RNA (tRNA) molecules are approximately 80 nucleotides in length. Their secondary structure includes four short double-helical elements and three loops (D, anti-codon, and T loops). RNAcentral also lists the same sequence under 4 other names. Lineage: Eukaryota; Viridiplantae; Streptophyta; Magnoliopsida; Poales; Poaceae. The record is from RNAcentral.